GGACGAACGCUGGCGGCGUGCUUAACACAUGCAAGUCGAACGGAAAGGCCCUGCUUUUGUGGGGUGCUCGAGUGGCGAACGGGUGAGUAACACGUGAGUAACCUGCCCUUGACUUUGGGAUAACUUCAGGAAACUGGGGCUAAUACCGGAUAGGAGCUCCUGCUGCAUGGUGGGGGUUGGAAAGUUUCGGCGGUUGGGGAUGGACUCGCGGCUUAUCAGCUUGUUGGUGGGGUAGUGGCUUACCAAGGCUUUGACGGGUAGCCGGCCUGAGAGGGUGACCGGCCACAUUGGGACUGAGAUACGGCCCAGACUCCUACGGGAGGCAGCAGUGGGGAAUAUUGCACAAUGGGCGGAAGCCUGAUGCAGCAACGCCGCGUGCGGGAUGACGGCCUUCGGGUUGAAAACCGCUUUCGCCUGUGACGAAGCGUGAGUGACGGUAAUGGGUAAAGAAGCACCGGCUAACUACGUG
RNAcentral lists this ribosomal RNA (469 nucleotides) under uncultured bacterium. RNAcentral's name for it is "partial 16S ribosomal RNA". It matches the Rfam family "Bacterial small subunit ribosomal RNA", at positions 27 to 507 of the family's 1533-position model. The record is from RNAcentral.